UGGGGAAUAUUGGGCAAUGGGCGCAAGCCUGACCCAGCGACGCCGCGUGAGGGAAGACAGCCUUCGGGUUGUAAACCUCUGUUGCAGGGGAAGAAGGACGUGACGGUACCCUGCGAGGAAGCUCCGGCUAACUACGUGCCAGCAGCCGCGGUAAUACGUAGGGAGCGAGCGUUGUCCGGAAUUACUGGGCGUAAAGGGCGCGUAGGCGGCGCUUCAAGUCGUCUGUCAAAAGCCGAGGCUCAACCUCGGUGCGCAGACGAAACUGGAGAGCUUGAGAAGCAGAGAGGCAAACAGAAUUCCUGGUGUAGCGGUGAAAUGCGUAGAUAUCAGGAAGAAUACCAGUGGCGAAGGCGGUUUGCUGGCUGCAUACUGACGCUGAAGCGCGAAAGCCAGGGGAGCAAACGGGAUUAGAUACCCCGGUAGUCCUGGCAGUAAACGAUGUAUGCUGGGUGUGGGACUAGCGAUAGUUCCGUGCCGAAGUUAACGCGAUAAGCAUACCGCCUGGGGAGUACGGUCGCAAGAUUG
This 525-nucleotide ribosomal RNA is filed under the name uncultured bacterium. Its description in RNAcentral is "bacterial SSU rRNA". It matches the Rfam family "Bacterial small subunit ribosomal RNA", at positions 355 to 896 of the family's 1533-position model. The record is from RNAcentral.